This is a long non-coding RNA of Clupea harengus (Atlantic herring), 1172 nucleotides long. Lineage: Eukaryota; Metazoa; Chordata; Actinopteri; Clupeiformes; Clupeidae. The record is from Ensembl.
GUGGGGUGUGGAGGUGGUGUAGUGGUGUGUGGAGGUGUGUGGUGGGGUGUGGAGGUGGUGUAGUGGUGUGUGGAGGUGUGUGGUGGGGUGUGGAGGUGGUGUAGUGGUGUGUGGAGGUGGUGUAGUGGUGUGUGGAGGCGUGUGGAGGUGGUGUAGUGGUGUGUGGAGGCGUGUGGAGGUGUUGUAGUGGGGUGUGGAGGUGGUGUAGUGGUGUGUGGAGGUGGUGUAGUGGUGUGUAGAGGUGUGUAGUGGUGUGUGGAGGUGUGUAGUGGUGUGUGGAGGUGGUGUAGUGGUGUGUGGAGGUGUGUAGUGGUGUGUGGAGGUGGUGUAGUGGGGUGUGGAGGCGUGUGGAGGUGUUGUAGUGGGGUGUGGAGGUGGUGUAGUGGUGUGUGGAGGUGGUGUAGUGGUGUGUGGAGGUGGUGUAGUGGUGUGUGGAGGUGGUGUAGUGGUGUGUGGAGGUGUGUAGUGGUGUGUGGAGGUGGUGUAGUGGUGUGUGGAGGUGUGUAGUGGUGUGUGGAGGUGGUGUAGUGGUGUGUGGAGGUGUGUAGUGGGGUGUGGAGGUGGUGUAGUGGUGUGUGGUGGGGUGUGGAGGUGGUGUAGUGGUGUGUGGAGGUGUGUAGUGGUGUGUGGAGGCGGUGUAGUGGUGUGUGGAGGCGUGUGGAGGCGGUGUAGUGGUGUGUGGAGGCGUGUGGAGGUGGUGUAGUGGUGUGUGGAGGCGUGUGGAGGUGUUGUAGUGGGGUGUGGAGGUGGUGUAGUGGUGUGUAGUGGUGUGUGGAGGUGUGUGGUGGUGUGUGGAGGCGUGUGGAGGUGGUGUAGUGGGGUGUGGAGGUGUGUAGUGGUGUGUGGAGGUGGUGUAGUGGGGUGUGGAGGUGGUGUAGUGGUGUGUGGAGGUGGUGUAGUGGUGUGUGGAGGCGUGUGGAGGUGGUGUAGUGGUGUGUGGAGGUGGUGUAGUGGUGUGUGGAGGUGGUGUAGUGGUGUGUGGAGGUGUGUAGUGGGGUGUGGAGGUGGUGUAGUGGUGUGUGGAGGCGUGUGCAGGUGGUGUAGUGGUGUGUGGAGGCGUGUGGAGGUGGUGUAGUGGUGUGUGGUGGUGGUGUAGUGUGGAGGUGGUGUAGUGUGGAGGUGGUGUAGUGGGGUGUGGUGGUGUGUGGAGGUGGUGUAGUGGGGUGUGGGUG